UUGCACCUCCACCCCUUCCUCCUGCCCGCCCCCCGCGCUCGCUUGACAGCCGGGGCGGUGCAGCCUGCGCAGCCGGGUAGCCGCCGCCGCCGCCGCCGCCGCCGCCGCCACCACCGCCGCCGCGCCCGGGGAGGGGUCUCCUGGUCCCACGGGCCGCCCCCGAAGCCUCGCUACCAGCUCGUUCCGCCCGCCUUAGCGCCCGCGGGUCUAUGCCCUUUAAAAACAUCAUCUUGGGAAUUUCCUUAAGCUUUAAUCCAAGCCUCCUGUGCUUCCUGGCUACAGCAGCUCAUUCCUAGGAAGGGAGUGAGAGCCUUUGAAACUACAUGUGCUCUUCGAGGAAGAGUCACCUAGGAAGAGACCUUCAAUCAUCAUCCUCACUUUACAAAUGAGAAUUGAGACUCACAGCAGAACCAAGACCAUACCCCAACCCACAGAUCUCCAAAACUCAUGAGCAAAACCACCAUGUCCAUCAGGGGUCUUUGGGAAAUACAGAAAAGCAGCAAGAAGGGCAAAUCCAUCAUCCCAAGAAACUAGUUUUCAUGUUGGCACAUUUUUUCUGAUCUUAUUUCUAGCCAUACAAUUUUUGUUCCAUACUCUUUUUCACUUAUUGUUGUUAAGUUAUUAGAAAUUCUCCCAAAAUAUCAAUUUUCAUGAUCACAUACUGUUCCAGUGAGUGCAUAUACCUUGUUCUACUUAAUGCUGCAUCUAUUUGGACACUUGGGCUAUUUUCAAAUUUUUGCUAUUUUAAAUAAUACUUUUAUAAAUAUCUUUGUGAAUUAUUUCUUUAUAUUCAUUAAAAUGGAAAUACUAGGACAAAGAAAAUGUAUGUUUAAAGCCACAUUGCCAGAUUUCUUUUUCAAAAAGUUUGUACUAGGGCUACCUGGGUGGCUCAGUCUGUUAAGUGUCCAACUCUUAGUUUCAGCUCAGGUUAUGAUCUCAGGGUCCUGAAAUCGACCCCUACUUGGGCUCCACACUCAGCUCAGAGUCUGCUUGUUCCUCUCCCUCUGCUCCUCUCCCUGUUUUCUCUCUCUCUCUCUCUCUCCCUCAUAAAAAAUAAUAUCUUAAAAAAAAAAAGUUGCACUAAUAUAUUGGGCCUGUUUCAUCUCAUCCAUAUCAGAACUCAAUAUUAUAUUUUAGAAAUACAAAUUACCUAAUUCAGUAUGUGAAAAGUGGUAUUUUAAAAUUUGCAUUCCUUUGAUUGGAUUGUAUGUAAAAUUGAAAAUGUUUUCUGUGCUUGCUAAUCAGUUUUAUUUCACUGUUCUCACUAGUUUCCUAAGGUGGAAGCUUACCUUUUGAUUUUAGAUCUUUCUUCUUUUCUAACAUACACAUUUAAUGCUAUAAAUUUACUUCUAAGCAGACUGAUUUUGCUCUGUCCCACAAAUUUUGAUAAACUGUACUUUUAUUUUUCUUUAAUUCAAAAUAUUUUAAAUUUCUCUUGAGAUUUCUUCUUUGGCUCAUGGGUUAUUUAGAGGUAUAUUGUUUAAUUUCCAGAUAUUUGGAAGUUUUCUAGCUAACCUUUUGUUAUUUAUUUCUAGCUUAAUUCCAUUGUGGUACAAGAAUGUACUUUGUAUGAUUCCUGUUCUUUUAAAUUUGUUAAGAUAUAUUUUAUGACCCAGAUGUGGUCUAUCUUGCGUAUUCUGCUAUGGUUGGUUGGAGUAUUCUAUAAAUGUCAACUCAAUUAAACUGAUCUGUUCAAGUCAUCUAUAUUCUUACGUUUUCACCUUUUUCAAAUUAUAGUCAUUUUUAGCAACCAGUGAACAAGACAACAGAAAAGUAAAUAAAAAGCUAAAUUAUACUUAAAGCUUAUAUGGUAGGAAACAGAUUUCCAUAUACGCUUUUCAUGAAGUUUCUAGUUUUUGUCUAUUACCUCUUUCUAACAAUGAAAAGGAUGUAUGAGAGGAAAAGCUGGGUGAGGGAGUGAGCCAGAAACACAGAAGAAAAAGUCACGUCACUAGUCUGAGAUUUUUCCAUAUUGUGAAUGAUGCUCUCAUGCCUAUUGAAAAAAAAAAGCUUAUUGCCAAGGAUUUUACCUUUAAAAAAAAAAGAUUUUAUUUAUUCAUUUGAGAGAGAGAGAGUGCACAAGUGCAUGGGGAGGGGAAG
This is a long non-coding RNA of Mirounga angustirostris (Northern elephant seal), 2100 nucleotides long. RefSeq lists it as uncharacterized. Lineage: Eukaryota; Metazoa; Chordata; Mammalia; Carnivora; Phocidae. The record is from RefSeq and is a predicted model, not a curated record. The transcript is spliced from 3 exons.